Molecule: non-coding RNA, 630 nt
Organism: Micropterus dolomieu (smallmouth bass)
Lineage: Eukaryota; Metazoa; Chordata; Actinopteri; Centrarchiformes; Centrarchidae
Source: the annotation of a RefSeq genome assembly
AUGAUGGACUACAGGACAGGACUGCUGCUUUUAACUGUCUGCUGGGCAGGUGUUGAUGGUCAGACUCUGACAGAAUCUGAACCAGUGGUUAAAAGGCCUGGAGAAUCCCACAGACUGACCUGUACAGGCUCUGGAUUCACAUUAAGCAGCUACCAUAUGGCCUGGGUCAGACAGGCUCCUGGAAAAGGACUGGAGUGGGUUGCUUAUAUCAGUAACGGUGGUGCCAGCAUCUACUACUCUCAGUCAGUUCAAGGCCGGUUUACCAUCUCCAGAGACAACAGCAGACAGCAGGUGUAUCUGCAGAUGAACAGCCUGAAGACUGAAGAUUCUGCUGUUUAUUAUUGUGCUCGACACUCACAGUGACUGGAGUUGGUUGAGCAGCUGUACAAAAUCCUACAGUACUCAUCCUCACUGUGCUUAUCGAUCAUGAGAAAGACUUUUAUUAUAAUUUAAUUCUGUCAUCAGCUUUUGUUGUUGUGGUAAUGAAAAUUGGCCCUGAGAAAGAUCAUCAUUAAGCAUAAACGAUAAACACAUGUCUAAAAAUGUUACUUUACAAAACAACCAAUGACAGCAAACACUGCUGAAUUUUUUUGUCCAGGUAUGAAUAAAAUAAAUACUACAUGUACACAU